Small nuclear RNA from Hyaena hyaena (striped hyena), 191 nucleotides. RefSeq annotates it as U2 spliceosomal RNA. Lineage: Eukaryota; Metazoa; Chordata; Mammalia; Carnivora; Hyaenidae. The transcript has a single exon. The record is from RefSeq and is a predicted model, not a curated record.
UUUUUUUCUUGGCCUUUUGGCUAAGAUCAAGUGUCGGACCUGUUCUUAUCAGUUUCAUAUCUGAUACGUCCUCUAUCCAAGGACAAGACGUUAAAUGGAUUUUGGGAGCAGGCAGAUAGAAUAAGGGCUUGCUCAGCCCACUCUGUGCAUCGAUCCGGUAUUGGAGUACCUCCCGGCACAGUGCACCCCCA